RNAcentral lists this non-coding RNA (31 nucleotides) under Mus musculus (house mouse). Lineage: Eukaryota; Metazoa; Chordata; Mammalia; Rodentia; Muridae. The record is from RNAcentral.
UGAGAUAAGUCCUAAGAAUGUGGUUGACUGG